CACAAAGAUUCCCAUUCAUUGUCCGCGGUUUAGUCGUGGCGAAUAGGAAGCAGAGAAACCCAACAAAGAUAAAAAUAAAAAGAAGAGUAAAUAAAAGUCGGGAUUAGAUUUGCCGAGGGACAUUCCCAUGGUUAUUGCUCGCGUGUAAUUGGAAGCAGAAGUGGCAUCUUGACUUGUACCUAAGAAAAAGACAGACCUGUUUGAGCCAGUGUUUAUGUUUGUAAAAAUUCAGUAUAAUACUAGAAUGAUAGAAGGUGUAGCUAUGGCAUGCUCUUCAUACAUUGUCCGUUAUGUUAGAGUCCAGGGACCUCUGAGAAGGGCAGAAAACUACGAGCUGAGCAUUAACAUCAAUGAAAUUAUCCAUAGUUCAGUCAAAAAGACUUUGAAAUUGGGUUUUUGGCA
Cotesia glomerata is the source of this 402-nucleotide long non-coding RNA. RefSeq lists it as uncharacterized. Lineage: Eukaryota; Metazoa; Arthropoda; Insecta; Hymenoptera; Braconidae. The transcript is spliced from 3 exons. The record is from RefSeq and is a predicted model, not a curated record.